This 254-nucleotide ribosomal RNA is filed under the name uncultured bacterium. RNAcentral describes it as "partial 16S ribosomal RNA". It matches the Rfam family "Bacterial small subunit ribosomal RNA", at positions 524 to 776 of the family's 1533-position model. The record is from RNAcentral.
UACGUAGGCAGCAAGCGUUUGUUCGGAGUUACUGGGCGUAAAGGGUGUGUAGGCGGUUGUUUAAGUUUGGUGUGAAAUCUCCCGGCUCAACCGGGAGGGUGCGCCGAAUACUGAGUGACUAGAGUGCGGGAGAGGAAAGUGGAAUUCCUGGUGUAGCGGUGAAAUGCGUAGAUAUCAGGAGGAACACCGGUGGUGUAGACGGCUUUCUGGACCGUAACUGACGCUGAGACACGAAAGCGUGGGUAGCAAACAGG